GACGAACGCUGGCGGCGUGCUUAACACAUGCAAGUCGAACGAUGAAGAAGAGAAACGCGAACUUCGGUUCAAAUUUCACUUCGGAUUAGUGGCAGACGGGUGAGUAACGCGUGAGCAACCUACCUCUUACAAAGGGAUAGCCUCGGGAAACCGUGAUUAAUACCAUAUGACACAUUCAUAAGGCAUCUUAAGAAUGUUAAAGCUACGGCGGUAAGAGAUGGGCUCGCGUCCCAUUAGCUAGUUGGUGAGGUAACGGCCCACCAAGGCGACGAUGGGUAACCGGCCUGAGAGGGUGAACGGUCACAUUGGAACUGAGACACGGUCCAAACUCCUACGGGAGGCAGCAGUGGGGAAUAUUGCACAAUGGAGGGAACUCUGAUGCAGCGACGCCGCGUGAGCGAUGAAGGAAUUCGUUUCGUAAAGCUCUGUUCUAUGGGAAGAAAGGGACUGUACCAGAGGAGAAAGCCCCGGCUAAAUACGUG
RNAcentral lists this ribosomal RNA (482 nucleotides) under uncultured bacterium. RNAcentral describes it as "partial 16S ribosomal RNA". It matches the Rfam family "Bacterial small subunit ribosomal RNA", at positions 28 to 507 of the family's 1533-position model. The record is from RNAcentral.